AUUGAACGCUGGCGGCAGGCCUAACACAUGCAAGUCGAGCGGAUGAAGGGAGCUUGCUCCUGGAUUCAGCGGCGGACGGGUGAGUAAUGCCUAGGAAUCUGCCUGGUAGUGGGGGAUAACGUCCGGAAACGGGCGCUAAUACCGCAUACGUCCUGAGGGAGAAAGUGGGGGAUCUUCGGACCUCACGCUAUCAGAUGAGCCUAGGUCGGAUUAGCUAGUUGGUGGGGUAAAGGCCUACCAAGGCGACGAUCCGUAACUGGUCUGAGAGGAUGAUCAGUCACACUGGAACUGAGACACGGUCCAGACUCCUACGGAAGGCAGCAGUGGGGAAUAUUCGACAAUGGGCGAAAGCCUGAUCCAGCCAUGCCGCGUGUGUGAAGAAGGUCUUCGGAUUGUAAAGCACUUUAAGUUGGGAGGAAGGGCAGUAAGUUAAUACCUUGCUGUUUUGACGUUACCAACAGAAUAAGCACCGGCUAACUUCGUG
RNAcentral lists this ribosomal RNA (484 nucleotides) under uncultured bacterium. Its description in RNAcentral is "partial 16S ribosomal RNA". It matches the Rfam family "Bacterial small subunit ribosomal RNA", at positions 30 to 507 of the family's 1533-position model. The record is from RNAcentral.